Molecule: long non-coding RNA, 537 nt
Organism: Corythoichthys intestinalis (scribbled pipefish)
Lineage: Eukaryota; Metazoa; Chordata; Actinopteri; Syngnathiformes; Syngnathidae
Exons: 4
Source: RefSeq, a predicted model, not a curated record
CUAAAAUGGCAGCCAAUCCCAUGGCUCCCUCUGUGUCCACAGUGGAGCGUUCAAACUCUUGAAACCUCAACAUUGCCACUAAAGAAUCCUCCUCACUGCAAGAGACAAAAACAUCAGUUCAUUAAAGACGGGCGUCUUCUGUAUCGCCGAUUGGAUGGUGAAGGCGGCAGCGCUAAUGUCCUCAAAGCGAAGUGUGAUUACAGGCGCUUCGACCACCACCCUGGGUUCGCGGACCUUGACGUCCCCGUUAAGGAGUUCCUCUUCACCAAAGUCCUUCAGCCUUUCUGGUUCAAUGAGGGUCGGUCUGCGGCCCACGGCGCCAUUACUGAACUGAACUCCUUUGAAAGAGUCACCUGGAUCUGCAGGGCCCAGACGCAACUCCUCUCUGGAAGGCCAGACAAGUGAACAGUACAUGCGGCUGAAGACAGUCUGGCUUAAAGAAGAUAACCAUGCUUACUACGACCAGCUAGCACGUGUGUGUGGAUGUGUGCGAGUCAGAGAGAAAAAAAAAUCUAUUCAGAGUGAAUAAAAGGAAGC